CCGAUCCGAGCCAAACCUAACUGCAUCCAGUAGGAGCCGUGACCACCGAGCCUCCGCUCUCUCUCUCUCGGCCCUCGCUCACUAUAUACCAUAUCUCUAGGGAAACCUAGCUAAGCCGCUCCCUCCUCUCCUCUCGCAACAACAAGACGGAGGAGAGCAAAGCUCUUCUUCCCAAGUAAGCAAGAUAGUGAUCCUAGAGGGAGGGAGGGAGGGCAUGCCAUGUGCUUGGCCUUCCAAGUUCAAAGAGCUAGCUCUUUAGACCAGUGGACAGGUGGGCGAGCGGGAAGGACCGGGGCGUCGCCCACGACGCAGACGAGACCGGCGGCGGCUUAUGGUGGCGCGGUCGAUGAGGACCUGCUGGAUCUCGCCGGAUCUGGUGGGAUGGCGCGCAGGCGGCGGAUCCGGAAGGAAAGCGGCCCGAGCUUGGAGCACGAGGCAUGGCGUGGGAGGACGGGAGGAAGGAGAUGGGAGCGGUGAGGUGCGGCGGUGGUCCCGCUGCUGCUCCUCGCCGGCCAUCGGGUGCGCGGAGGCGUCGACAUCGUUGAGUGGAUCGAGCGAGUGGGCUAAGUUUCGCCGUCGCCUUCGUCCGUUCCCCUUGCUAAACAGAUCUUCUCCUGCUACCUAGGGUUCCCGGCCGCAGGCGCACCUCGGCAGCCAUCGAGGCGACCACUGCCGCCUGCAGGCGGAACGAGGAGGAGACGCCAAGGUGCCGGUGGUGCGCCCGCUGCUGGUGGUGCUCAGCGAGGACGAGUGCCGGAAGGGGCUAAGCGCUUUUUAUCUUCCCUCAGAAACAUAAUUUUAUCUUCUUUCAGAUGUAGGAAUUGAUACGUACGGAUGAACUUAAAGGUAGAAUUUCUAAUCUUAAUCUUGCAGUGUUCAAGAAGGCGCCCAGAAAAUCAAUUGACACCAUCCCUUCUCUGAUUAUGCACACAGAUCAGGAGAGACAUACUGGCCGGGACAAUCUUUAAACCAUGAAGCUACACAAUCUAUUGAAUCGGCCAAUAGGUGGAUAUCGUAAUUAGAAUCAGGGCAUUUCUAUGAAAGUCUAUAUAUCACAGUUAACUACAGGGAGAAAACAAAUGAGACAUUCCCAUUCACAAGUGUUUAUGCUGAACCCAGACUUUUCAGACCAUCAGACCAACCAGUUGCAAUCACGAACGAGCAGCAAAUGUUUGCACUGAACUACUGGGGUAAGGCAGUGAAAUACUUUUUGCUCGCGAGGGUGAAAGUUUGGAACAGAGAAAGAACUGACAACAAAGUAAUGAGGAUGGGGCAUUCGGUGAUCCAGCAUCUGUUCUACCAUCAGGGCUGAUGGCAUUCUUUGGCAAUACUAAGCCGCUUGAUAAAUCCAUGGCAUGAGAUGGGCCUUGGGUAUAAUCCAAGCAUCGAACCUGGGUGAUCCGUGGUGAUACAAUUUAAUGAAAACAUGAACCAUGGCUUGAUGUUGCUUUCAACCAGUACAAGGCUAUGUGGAGAAAGUAUGUAGAUACUGAAAAGGAAUUCCUGACACUAUGUAACUUUGGUCUCUCAAGUAAUUAAAGAAAUUCUCCAAGAAUAAGGCCACCAUCAAUAUAUUUGUUCUUUUAUGGGCAAAA
RNA transcript from Triticum urartu, 1595 nucleotides. RefSeq lists it as uncharacterized. The record is from RefSeq and is a predicted model, not a curated record. NCBI's taxonomy places the organism in Eukaryota, Viridiplantae, Streptophyta, Magnoliopsida, Poales, Poaceae.